GCUUCGGUAGCUCAAUUGGUUAGAGCAUCCGCCUGUCGAGCGGAAGGUUGCGGGUUCAAGUCCCGUCCGUCGCGC
This 75-nucleotide transfer RNA is filed under the name Agromyces sp. NBRC 114283. Its description in RNAcentral is "tRNA-Asp". It matches the Rfam family "tRNA". Rfam says of the family: Transfer RNA (tRNA) molecules are approximately 80 nucleotides in length. Their secondary structure includes four short double-helical elements and three loops (D, anti-codon, and T loops). The record is from RNAcentral. Lineage: Bacteria; Bacillati; Actinomycetota; Actinomycetes; Micrococcales; Microbacteriaceae.